This is a non-coding RNA of Rhodofomes roseus, 93 nucleotides long. Lineage: Eukaryota; Fungi; Basidiomycota; Agaricomycetes; Polyporales; Fomitopsidaceae. The record is from the annotation of a RefSeq genome assembly.
ACACUGAUGGUGAAACGGUUAUCAUCCUUGCCUUCCAAGCGUGAGAAACUCUUACGUAAGCAAGGGGUGAGGGUUCGAUCCCCUCUCAGUGUA